GACGAACGCUGGCGGCGUGCUUAACACAUGCAAGUCGAACGGAAAGGCCCUGCUUUUGUGGGGUGCUCGAGUGGCGAACGGGUGAGUAACACGUGAGUAACCUGCCCUUUACUUUGGGAUAACUUCAGGAAACUGGGGCUAAUACCGGAUAGGAGCUCCUUCUGCAUGGUGGGUGUUGGAAAGUUUCGGCGGUUGGGGAUGGACUCGAGGCUUAUCAGCUUGUUGGUGGGGUAGUGGCUUACCAAGGCUUUGACGGGUAGCCGGACUGAGAGGGUGACCGGCCACAUUGGGACUGAGAUAGGGCCAAGAGUGCUACGGGAGGCAGCAGUGGGGAAUAUGGCAAAAUGGGCGGAAGCCUGAUGCAGCAACGCCGCGUGCGGGAUGACGGCUUUUGGGGUGUAAACCGCGUGCGCCUGUGACGAAGCGUGAGUGACGGUAAUGGGUAAAGAAGCAACGGCUAACUACGUG
Molecule: ribosomal RNA, 468 nt
Filed under: uncultured bacterium
Lineage: Bacteria
Description: partial 16S ribosomal RNA
Rfam family: Bacterial small subunit ribosomal RNA
Source: RNAcentral